This is a long non-coding RNA of Jatropha curcas, 648 nucleotides long. RefSeq lists it as uncharacterized. Lineage: Eukaryota; Viridiplantae; Streptophyta; Magnoliopsida; Malpighiales; Euphorbiaceae. The record is from RefSeq and is a predicted model, not a curated record.
UGUGUGCGUUUUGUGUGUGCAAGCAAGAGGCGACAAAAAGAAAGUGUGCCCUGCGUGAUAUGAGCUUCACAAAAACAAAAUCAGAAGAGAGACAAAGGUGCCGAGAGAAAGAAAAGGAAAAACCAAGUAAAAAUUGAAAGCCUUGAUCUGACGGUUGAUCUUUACCAAGUAAAAAUUGAAAGCCUUGAUCUGACGGUUGAUCUUUACCGAGCUUGACGAAAUUUUGAUACGCUGAUGUAUACUCACCAAGUUCUCGAAAAUGAACGGUUCUGAUUUUUGAUUUGGCUCUCCUUACCAAGGCUUUCAAGAGGCGACUUGAUAUUUGGUAAAGGAAAGAAGCACAAUACUCUUUGUCACACCAAGCCAAGAUUUGCACUGAGAUUGUGAAUGCAGCUGAAGAUUUCUCCAUAGAUUUGUGGCACAACAACUUGGUAAUUUAAAUGAGACUCUCCCAAAAAGGAGAUUCUACCCUUGGCAACUAUGUCUCUAAAACAUAUUGUCUGUCCGAUAAAUAAUAUAGAGUUUCAUUUCGUAGAUCCCCUUCUCUAUUUAGGAAGUCCGGAAUUCUAAAUUUAUGACACACUAAUGUAUAUGUUCUAUGACUGAUAAAUCUAUUGGUGGUUGCAUAUAUUAUGUUACUUUUAUUGA